RNAcentral lists this ribosomal RNA (460 nucleotides) under uncultured bacterium. Its description in RNAcentral is "partial 16S ribosomal RNA". It matches the Rfam family "Bacterial small subunit ribosomal RNA", at positions 338 to 795 of the family's 1533-position model. The record is from RNAcentral.
CCUACGUGUGGCAGCAGUGAGGAAUAUUGGUCAAUGGGCGAGAGCCUGAACCAGCCAAGUCGCGUGAAGGAUGACGGCCCUACGGGUUGUAAACUUCUUUUGUCAGGAAUCAAUUGGGUCCACGCGUGUGCUUAGCGAGAGUACCUGAAGAAAAAGCAUCGGCUAACUCCGUGCCAGCAGCCGCUGUAAUCCGGAGGAUGCGAGCGUUAUCCGGAUUUAUUGGGUUUAAAUGGUGCGUAGGCGGAAUAUCAAGUCAGCGUUAAACAUUCGGGGCUCAACCCCGUCGUGCCGUUGAAACUGGCAGUCUCUAGUUGGAGAGAAGUAUGCGGAAUGCGCGGUGUAGCGGUGAAAUGCAUAGAUAUCGCGCAGAACUCCGAUUGCGAAGGCAGCAUGCCGGCUCCACACUGACGCUGAGGCACGAAAGCGUGGGUAUCGAACAGGAUUAGAUACCCGUGUAGUC